This 253-nucleotide ribosomal RNA is filed under the name uncultured bacterium. RNAcentral describes it as "partial 16S ribosomal RNA". It matches the Rfam family "Bacterial small subunit ribosomal RNA", at positions 524 to 776 of the family's 1533-position model. The record is from RNAcentral.
UACGGAGGGUGCGAGCGUUGUCCGGAAUCAUUGGGCGUAAAGGGCGCGUAGGUGGCCCGGUCAGUCCGUGGUGAAAGCGCGGGGCUCAACCCCGCGUCGGCCAUGGAUACUGCUGGGCUGGAGCACUGUAGAGGCAGGCGGAAUUCCGGGUGUAGCGGUGGAAUGCGUAGAGAUCCGGAAGAACACCCGUGGCGCAAGCGGCCACCUGGCAGAGCACUGACGCUGAGGCACGAAAGCGUGGGUAGCGAACCGG